CUUUGUUCUCUCCGUCUUAAAAGCUUUGUCUUUGCAACUUCAUCUGUGUAGAACCGAUUUCUCAGCUUCACCUCAAACUUAGAAAAUAAACCCCAACUUCAUAGAAGAAGAGUUCGUAUCACAAACUCAGAUUUCUCAGCUUCACCCUCAGUAGCUGCGUAGGUGUAGUAGAUGGUGAAGACCAAUUUGUCUGCAAUGGUAAACAAAAAGGUUAUCAAUGAAGCAAAGAGCAACAAUUCAGUCCCAACUCCCAAAAAGGUAGUAAGCAAGCAGGACAAAAACGUCAGUUUUUCUCCUUUCAAGAUCAUUUUAAAAGACAAGAGUAAAAAGUCUCUUGCCAAACAAACUCCUAAGAAGAAGAAGAAGAGUUCGGAGCAUCCUGAUAGCGGAAAGAAUCCAAGACGAUCAUCCCUUAGGUUUAAGAACACUCCAAAGGAACCUCAUAAUGCUGAAAAGACUACUCAGAACAGUUCAGAGGAACCACAUGAUGCUGAAAAGCCUACUCCAACACGGUCAUCGCCUCGGAAAACUAAAAGUGUAGUUGAACCAGUCGCUGAAAAGACAACUCCAACACGAUCAUCACUUAUGAAAAGGAAAAGCUCAUUUGAACCAGAACAAUCUCAACCAUUACAUUCCACAUCAGGAGCAUCUCAAGUUGCACCCUCUAGUGAAGUUGUUAACAAGAAGAAAAGUGCAAAGCGAAAAUUGUACACAUGGCCAUGUCCAAAUGUGCAAGUCAGGAAUUCGAAUAAUACUUUCUCAGAUCUUCAAGACGAUGAAGAAGAUGAAGAUGAUGAACAAGAAGAUAAGGGAAAUGAAUAGGUGGAGAAUGAAGACAAGGAAAAUGAGAACGAUGGCGAGGACCAUGACGUGGGAAAUGAAAAUGAAACAGAAGUUGAGGCAAACCCAAAAGAAAGUACGUUCCACAUGGCCCAACAAGGAUGAGUGCACUAGGGAUAACAGCUGAUAACAAUUGCAAGGAAGCUGUUAGCUUUAACAGUAAGGAUUAGCCCAUUGGUGAUCCUUUGGUGCAGCUUGCAAGUGUGUUGGGAGUUUUAGUUCGAAACAUCCCAUUGAAACACAAGGAUUGAAGACUUAUCCCUAAAGAAGCCAAAGAUAAAAUAUGGGCGAUUGUCAUGCAAAGGUUUGUUAUCGAUGAGUUUUACAAAGACUACUGUCUUGGGAAGAUGGGAUGUUAUCUUAAAGAGGCUAGGUUAAGGAAAGUCGUUAAGAUACUCGCCUUAGAUGAUCUAGAGGAAGAAGAAAGAGAGAAGAGCCUGGAAGCACUGAAACCAGAGAAUGACACUGUCAAUGAGUGGGAAGAGUUCGUAAAACAUGUUUGCUCGGAGGAAUUCAGAACAAAAAGAUUGCUGAUGCAACAAAUCAGAAAGAAACACACCACUCCACAGACUAUCAGUAGACUAGGUUAUGCGAGACUCGAGGCUAAAAUGCAAAAGGAACGGAAAACACAAGAAGAGAUUGAUAGAGUCGAAAUUUAGACAACGAGUCACAAACAGAAGGAAGGAAAACAACCUAAUCUUGGUGUUGUGGAGGCUUUGG
Molecule: long non-coding RNA, 1560 nt
Organism: Papaver somniferum (opium poppy)
Lineage: Eukaryota; Viridiplantae; Streptophyta; Magnoliopsida; Ranunculales; Papaveraceae
Exons: 8
Source: RefSeq, a predicted model, not a curated record